UGGCGGCGGCCUAACCAUGCAAGUCGAGCGCACCUUCGGGUGAGCGGCGGACGGGUUAGUAACCCUUGAGGACGUGCCCAGAUCUGCGGAAUAGCCACUGGACUUGGUGAGUAAUACCGCAUACGCCCUUCGGGGGAAAGAUUUAUCGGAUUUGGAUCGGCCCGCGUUAGAUUAGGUAGUUGGUGGGGUAAUGGCCUACCAAGCCUACGAUCUAUAGCUGGUUUUAGAGGAUGAUCAGCAACACUGGGACUGAGACACGGCCCAGACUCCUACGGGAGGCAGCAGUGGGGAAUCUUGGACAAUGGGGGCAACCCUGAUCCAGCCAUGCCGCGUGAGUGAUGAAGGCCCUAGGGUCGUAAAGCUCUUUCGCCUGUGAUGAUAAUGACAGUAGCAGGUUAUUUUUCCCCGGCUAACUCCGUGCCAGCAGCCGCGGUAAUACGGAGGGGGUUAGCGUUGUUCGGAAUUACUGGGCGUAAAGCGCGCGUAGGCGGACCAGAAAGUUGGGGGUGAAAUCCCGGGGCUCAACCCCGGAACUGCCUCCAAAACUCCUGGUCUAGAGUUCGAGAGAGGUGAGUGGAAUUCCGAGUGUAGAGGUGAAAUUCGUAGAUAUUCGGAGGAACACCAGUGGCGAAGGCGGCUCACUGGCUCGAUACUGACGCUGAGGUGCAAAAGUGUGGGGAGCAAACAGGAUUAGAUACCCUGGUAAUCCACACCGUAAACGAUGAAUGCCAGUCCUUCGGAAGCAUGCUUGUCGGUGACACCCCAAACGGAUUAAGCUUUCCGCCUGGGGGAUACGGGCGGCAGAAUUAAAAACUCAAAGGAUUUGAGCGGGGCCCCGCACAAGGGGGGAAACAGGUGUUUUUAUUCAAAGCACUCGCCAAAACCUUUCCAAACCUUGGAAUCCUGGGCCCAAUUCCGAAGAUAGAUGUUCCCUUCCGGGACCCAUGAAAAGGGGCUUCAUGGCUGUC
Molecule: ribosomal RNA, 968 nt
Filed under: uncultured Roseobacter sp.
Lineage: Bacteria; Pseudomonadati; Pseudomonadota; Alphaproteobacteria; Rhodobacterales; Roseobacteraceae
Description: bacterial SSU rRNA
Rfam family: Bacterial small subunit ribosomal RNA
Source: RNAcentral